This 914-nucleotide small RNA is filed under the name Drosophila pseudoobscura pseudoobscura. RNAcentral describes it as "GA32291". The record is from RNAcentral. Lineage: Eukaryota; Metazoa; Arthropoda; Insecta; Diptera; Drosophilidae.
AUCGCACUCCACAAUCGAAUUUUAUAAGCUCUUAUCGCUCGGCAGAGCCUCAAUAACGUGCUAACGGCACCCGAAGCUCCUGCUCCCUGCUCGCCUGCCAAAGCUGAUAGCAGCCACAAAAGCUCAAUUUAAAAUCGAACAAAAAACAACCAAACAUUCGAAAUCGAAACCGACAUGCGACAAUCGCAAUUAGCGAAAGAAGGAAGGAAAGCAAGAGACGGAACAAAAGGAGAGCCGGAGGAGGAGGAGCAGUAGAAGGAGGAAACUGAGUCAGACCUCGGAGUCUACCGGCGUUUCUCGGAGCAGGAGGAGGUGGAGGUGCUGGUGGCGGGGAGCCUGCGGUGCUGCCUCUGCGGGCUAUAUAGAAGCCGACGCCAGCGACACCGACAACGACAACGAAGGCAGCGGCUGAGGCGGCGGCGACAACGAAAGCUCCAGAGAGACGGACAGCGAGACGAUCGCCGGGGAAUUCUCGGUGUCGGUGAGUGUAGCUCGGUGUCGCUCGCUCUUUCAGGCCCAUGUUCGUAUAAACUUUAAUAAAUAUUAUUACUACUACUACUCUGCCCGACGCUGUUGUUGUUGUCCGUAUUAACUGCUGCACUCGGACGCACUCGUACUCGUCUUGGCAAAAUAUUGUUAACAGUUAACACAACAGUUCGGCUCGGAUCGGAUCGGCCGUUGGUUGGCCGCUGAUUCGCGCCUCGGAUCAUUUCGGAUCGCUGCUUCGUACCCUCCUCUUAUCGGCGGAGAUUAAGCGACUACUAUAUAUAUGUAUGUAUGUACAUACAUAUGUGUACAAUACAUCUGUACAUAAAUCCAUGUGUACAUAUAAUUCAAAUUGUUUAAUGGCCCACUAAAUGUGUACAUAUAUAUAAUCUGUAUAUAGAACGCGUAUUUGUCUGUGGCUUUGUAUG